This 253-nucleotide ribosomal RNA is filed under the name uncultured bacterium. RNAcentral's name for it is "partial 16S ribosomal RNA". It matches the Rfam family "Bacterial small subunit ribosomal RNA", at positions 524 to 776 of the family's 1533-position model. The record is from RNAcentral.
UACGGAGGGUGCGAGCGUUGUUCGGAAUCACUGGGCGUAAAGGGCGCGCAGGCGGUUGGUUAAGUCAGAUGUGAAAGCCCACGGCUCAACUGUGGAAGUGCAUUUGAAACUGGCUGACUUGAGUAUCAGAGGGGAAAGUGGAAUUCCCGGUGUAGAGGUGAAAUUCGUAGAUAUCGGGAGGAAUACCGGUGGCGAAAGCGACUUUCUGGCUGAAUACUGACGCUGAGGCGCGAAAGCGUGGGGAGCAAACAGG